GACGAACGCUGGCGGCGUGCUUAACACAUGCAAGUCGAACGGAAAGGCCCUGCUUUUGUGGGGUGCUCGAGUGGCGAACGGGUGAGUAACACGUGAGUAACCUGUCCUUGACUUUGGGAUAACUUCAGGAAACUGGGGCUAAUACCGGAUAGGAGCUCCUGCUGCAUGGUGGGGGUUGGAAAGUUUCGGCGGUUGGGGAUGGACUCGCGGCUUAUCAGCUUGUUGGUGGGGUAGUGGCUUACCAAGCCUUUGACGGGUAGCCGGCAUGAGAGGGGGACCGGACACCUUGGGCCUGAGGUACGGCCCAGACUUCUACGGGGGGCAGCAGUGGCGAGUAUUGCACAAUGGGCAGAAGCGUGAUGAAACAACGCCGCGUGCGGGAUAACGGCCUUCCAGUUGUAAACCGCUUUGGCCUAAGACGAAGCGUGAGUGACGGUAAUGGGUAAAGAAGCACCGGCUAACUACGUG
RNAcentral lists this ribosomal RNA (468 nucleotides) under uncultured bacterium. RNAcentral describes it as "partial 16S ribosomal RNA". It matches the Rfam family "Bacterial small subunit ribosomal RNA", at positions 28 to 507 of the family's 1533-position model. The record is from RNAcentral.